This 495-nucleotide ribosomal RNA is filed under the name uncultured bacterium. RNAcentral describes it as "partial 16S ribosomal RNA". It matches the Rfam family "Bacterial small subunit ribosomal RNA", at positions 28 to 507 of the family's 1533-position model. The record is from RNAcentral.
GACGAACGCUGGCGGCGUGCCUAAUACAUGCAAGUAGAACGCUGAAGGAGGAGCUUGCUUCUCUGGAUGAGUUGCGAACGGGUGAGUAACGCGUAGGUAACCUGCCUGGUAGCGGGGGAUAACUAUUGGAAACGAUAGCUAAUACCGCAUAAUAGUAGAUGUUGCAUGACAUUUGCUUAAAAGGUGCAAUUGCAUCACUACCAGAUGGACCUGCGUUGUAUUAGCUAGUUGGUGGGGUAACGGCUCACCAAGGCGACGAUACAUAGCCGACCUGAGAGGGGGAGCGGCCACGCUGAGACUGGGACACGGCCCAGACUCCUGCGGGAGGCAGCAGUAGGGAAUCCUCAGCAAUGGACGGAAGUCUGACCGAGCAACGCCGCGUGAGUGAAGGAUGUUUUCGGGUCGUGAAGCUCUGGUGUAAUUGAAGAACGAGUGUGAGAGUGAGAAGUGCACACUGUGACGGUAUCUGACCAGAAAGGGACGGCUAACUACGUG